This 497-nucleotide ribosomal RNA is filed under the name uncultured bacterium. RNAcentral describes it as "partial 16S ribosomal RNA". It matches the Rfam family "Bacterial small subunit ribosomal RNA", at positions 28 to 507 of the family's 1533-position model. The record is from RNAcentral.
GACGAACGCUGGCGGCGUGCCUAAUACAUGCAAGUUGAGCGAUGAAGCUUGGUGCUUGCACCAAUUUGAAGAGCAGCGAACGGGUGAGUAACGCGUGGGGAAUCUGCCUUUGAGCGGGGGACAACAUUUGGAAACGAAUGCUAAUACCGCAUAACAACUUUAAACAUAAGUUUUAAGUUUGAAAGAUGCAAUUGCAUCACUCAAAGAUGAUCCCGCGUUGUAUUAGCUAGUUGGUGAGGUAAAGGCUCACCAAGGCGAUGAUACAUAGCCGACCUGGGAGGGUGAUCGGCCACAGUGGGACUGAGACACGGCCCAAACUCCUACGGGAGGCAGCAGUAGGGAAUCUUCGGCAAUGGACGAAAGUCUGACCGAGCAACGCCGCGUGAGUGAAGAAGGUUUUCGGAUCGUAAAACUCUGUUGGUAGAGAAGAACGUUGGUGAGAGUGGAAAGCUCAUCAAGUGACGGUAACUACCCAGAAAGGGACGGCUAACUACGUG